GACUAUGGUCACACCUGGGCUCCCUUAGGUGGCUGUAUUUAGGUGGUGGGUUGACUGGCGGAUGGGUUUAGCUAUGAUGGCUCAGUUGAUGGUGUGUCUCCAUCUAUGUUGUCUUUCAUCCUCAAGGCACCUAUGUUGGGGCUUUUGGAACCUGGUGGUACCAGAGUUCCAAGAGGGUGAGAGGAAGUUGCAGGGACUCUUGAGACCUUGCUUGAAAAUAGUGCAACAUUAUUUCUGAUGCACUGUAUUGGCCAAAGGAAAUCAGGUAGUCUGGCCAGAUUUGGGAAGUAGGGAAACAGACUCUGCCUUUUUGAUGAAGAAUUUGUGACUAUUUUUUAUCGUCUACGAAUCCUUAUAAAAGUACUCAGAAUAUAGUAAGUGCUCAAUAAAUGUCGAACUGCAUGCAUGAAUGGAGAAAGUAGGUUGGAGUCCUGAAAAGGAAGAUAACAUAUUGGCAAUGCUGCUAUUGAAAAUGGAAAAAGGAACCAAUCAUGGAUAAGUAAAAGAAUUGCUGAGCAACACGGAUGGUCCAGCUGAGCUUGAAAAUUGUAAAUUUGUUUUUCCGCCAAUUUUCUCCAAUUGCAUUUGGUAGUUUGGGAGCAAGCCCACAGAAACAGAUGGUUGGGUUGAUCCAGGUUAGGGAUUAGUACUCUGCAAACUAGCAGUAGUGGGAGGUUGAGUCUGCCCAACUUGGUUCUGUGCCUUCUCAGCUCUCUGCUCACUCAGGAGCUGGCCACUCCAUGGAAUAUUCUGCAUCCUAAAUGUCCUCACUCAUUCUGGUCCACUGUCUGAUACCAAAACUCCAUGUUGGAUUACAAAGUAAGUUAAUUGAGAUUGUGAGCUAUGUGGUUCAGGCCUGAAGUGAAGUACAGAUAAACACACACACACACACGCACACAGACACACACACAGACACAGACACAGACACACACACACACACACACACACUGAGGAAUUCCAUUUGCAUUUCUUGGAAGACAUAUGGGGAUCUGAUUUUUCCAUUUUUUUCCUUUUCAAUUCUCCAGGCUACUGCUGGAGCCUUGUACUUCCCACCCCACCAUUCCCUGCUGUCAAUCCAGCCCUCAAGAAGAGCAGUCCUAUUCAUAAUGCUCCUACUAAUUUUCCCCAGUUCUUUCUCCUGGCUCAUUAGACCCUUCCUUUAAUUCUGUAUCAUAAAAGUCUUAGGAUUGACUGGCAGAAUCAGGUUUGUCUCCAAAGGUGGGGAAGAGGGUGAAAAGGGCAAACGUGAGAGUAAGCUGAAAAAUUGACAAUUACCAGGUCUUUUUGGCAACUAAGGGAGUGCUGAAAACCAUGACUACUUCUACCUUAUUUUUCUAGAUUUUUACCACUCAGACUAAUUUUAUCUUCUUUCACUGUACUUAAUAUUUUGAACCCAUAUUUACUUUCUUGGUCUUCCUUGCCCAAGAUGAAUGACCAAUUUCACUUUGUUCCAUGGCUCAUAGACAAUUUCUGUUUUGCCUAGGAUUCUUAGCCUCAGGGAAAGCCCUGUCUCUACACAAUCAUUUCCUCCUUUCCUAAUCAGCAUUCCUAUGCAGGGGAAGACCCACAGGAGGAGGCAAGUAAACCAAAGAAUCAAGAUUUAGUGCUUGGAUAUAAGACACUGAAACAGAGGAGGUCAAGGAAUUGGGUGCUUAGAUGAUUUUUCAGUGUUGGUGGUGGAGUUGCCUAAGAUGAUGGGGGAGAAUACAGAAGAGAAUAACUAUGAUGUGGUUUGGCUGUGUGCCCACCGAAAUCUCAUCUUAAAUUAUAGCUACCAUAAUCCCCAUAUGUCAUGGGAGCGACCCAGUGGGACGUAACUGAAUCACGAAGGCGGGUUUUUCCUGUACUGUUCUUGUGAUAGUGAACAAGUCUCUCGAGAUCUGAUGGUUUUAUAAAGGGAACAUAUUCUCUUGCCUGCCACCAUGGAAGGUGUGCCUUUGUUCCUCUUUCACCUUUUGCCAUGAUUGUGAGGCCUCCCUAGCCACAUGGAACUGUGAGUCCAUUAUGCCUCUUUUUUCUUAAGACUUUUUUCAACGUCUUGGGUAUGUCUUUAUUGGCAAUGUGAAAACGGACUAAUACAACUAUAAACCAAUUAACAAUGUCCUGAGAGAAUAUAUGGGGCUGCACUGAAUGUUGGUAGAUGGUGGAUAGAGUGGAUAGGAGCAAUGCCAAUGAAUGGAGGGUUUCAAGAAAGUGACAAGACAGUGGAUCAGAGGCAUGGAAACAGCUGUGGGAAAGCAGGAGGAGCAUGCUGUGCCUCCUUGAUAUGACAGGCUGAGUGGAUACUAGGGAGCAGCACUUUCCAUAAAAGAAUUGGAGGGAAGUUACACCAUCUGCAAAAAGUUAAGUGGAGUCAGUAAUCUCAGUUUGUACUUUCAGGCUGUAGAUUUCAGGAUAACAGGAAAAAGAUAUCCUCAGUUGUAAGAAAGUUACCUUGUUAGCUGUUUUGAGACUCCAAAGUGAAUCUUUUAGUAUAACUCCUUAAUUCAUUCUUGUAUCAAAUAGUUAUUGGCCAGGAACAAAACAGAGUGCUUAAAUAUAAGGACGAAUAAAAUAAGAUCUGCCAUUAAGCAGCUCACAGUCUUUUUAAGGCAGAAGGAAAACAGACAGGUAACUUAAAACAAAUUGUAAGUUGUAUGAUAGCAGUGAGCACGGUUCUAUGGAACACCGAGUAGAGUUGUCCUACCAGAAUAGGGGGUAGGAGGUAGACUCAGAAAAAGAAGCCUGAGCUGUGUCUUUAAAUAUGAGUUAAUGAGGUAAAAGAGUAUAUGUGUGUGUGUGUGUGUGUGUGUGUUAGGGAGAGGGAGGGGAUUGAGGUCCAGGAGCAAAAGGGAUUAUAAUUACUAUAUUUCAAUUUCACUCCAUUCUGGGUAGUCACAGUCUAAAUAGUUGAAUCAGGUUUAAUUGAAUCUCCAAUGUGAGAAGACUUUCCAUUAUUUCCUUUUAUAAGAGAAGUGGAGCCAAGCCGAAGCUCACACUUUGGCAACUGAUCCUGUGUAAACUGUAUUGCUCCCUGAACUAACCCUCUCUUGAGGCUGGGAAGACACUUAUGCUGUUGACUCGAUUUGAUCAAAGGACAGUUUGAAGGAAGCCAAUAUCAACAAACCUCUCUUUGGGCUGUCGGAAAUAGUGUUUCCAUUUUAUUUAUUUGAAAGAAUCUUGUGUCUUAAAUCUUGGGACGGGCCAUUUGAGAGUUGUCUGAUUAUUGUGCAAGUUGUUUUAAAAAGUCUCACAAGAAAUGAUUGUUUUACCUUUCUAUUUUAGUGCUAACCAGAUAUGGAUGGCAAAUAAUAGCACCACUGUAUAGUAGACAUUUUGGUGGGAAAAUGCUGUUCACAAGAGGAACCUUGGCUGGUCAUGAUAUUCUGGGCAACUUGGAUUGUUAAGAAGAUAACUUAUGUGACUAGCACUUUCCUGAAACUGCAAGACUCUUCUUCCCACAUUCAAACUUCCAGAAUGAAUUUUGUUGCUUGCAGUAGGUAGCACUACUUGUGCUCAGUUACUUAUGGCCCCCAAAAAUAGAGAACAGGAGUUAACAAAUGCUUUAUCUGAUGUUCACUAUAAUUUGAGCGUUUGCAAAGUAGUUCUAGUUCUUGGAUAUAGCAGUUGAUGGGACACUAGAGUUGAAUUCGUGACAUCAUAACUACUUAGAAAGAAUGAAAGAGGGAAAAUGGGUAAGAAUUUUUUAAGGAACCAGUUUCUCAGUUGUCAGUAUUUUCCUUUAUAAAGAUAAAAAAAUGAACAUUCAACUUUGAAAAGCAAGUGUUUUAUCUUUCAUGGGCUUGGUUAGGUGAGUAGAGAGAAUUCCAGUUGAAAUGGACAGACAGAGAGCCAAGGAAUUUUAAUAAAAAUCUGGGAUCUUUUCAUGUGAAGCAGAUCUGAGUCAAGGUAGUUCUGCCCUCAAGAAUCUGUUACAGUAAUCAUUUCCUUUGGGACUUAAAAAAAGGACUGUUGACAUUUGCUCCCUCUAGGUACCUAUAAAAGAGUUCCAGCUACAUAGAAGGGCUGUGAUACUUUCAGUUAAGCAAGGAAGAAGUUGUAAAUGUGGGCAAUAUAAUGUUAUAGGUUUCACUAAAAUUUCUAUUAUUUAUUCCAUCAGCUGGUUGCUUUUUAGUGAGCACCUAUUACGUGCUUUCUUGUUAGGAGCAGAGGAUACAGUAAUGAAGAAUAAAGUAUCUACUUUCUUGAAAAUCUGAGUCUAUCAGGGAGAGAGAUAGCACUCCAAUAGUGGAUUAAUUGUGAUUAUGAACAUCUACUAUAAUGGAUAGUAGAGAAGAUAAUUUGUAUGUAAUUGAAGGACCACAUUCUACUUAGCUUGAAGUCAUUGUGAUAGGAAAUCCCUGAAAAACCAGAUGGCACAAGUUACUCAGAAGAGAUGAAAGGGUUUUCCAUAAUUCAAAUAGGAGGAGGAAGAGGAAGUGUGGGAGUAAUUACUGGAUUAAGAUCACUGAAAGACAAGGUUGUCUUUAAGGGAGAGGCCAGCUCAGGUUUUGCAUACUGGAGGAAGUUUGUUUUAUCCAUUUGGGAAAUCAAGAUUACAUCUUCAUGGGACUAGAGAUUGUGGAGAACUCAUUCCUUCCAGCGCCAGCCCCUGGUGAUCUCAUUCUAGUGAGUAAAACCUCAGUGAUGUGAAAUGAUGAAAUGUCUCCAUGAUAUGAAGUGAAGUGAAUGACAUAGGCACUGUGAUGCAGCAUUAGGCUACUACAGUAUUGACCUUCUGACCAUACAUCAGAAAGAGGAUCAUCUGCUUCUGGUGAUCCUGGAUUAUCAAGCCAUGACAAUGUUGAUGGUUGCAUGUCAGGAACAGAUAAUAUUGAUGACUAACAGGAGGAAACAGAAGACUGAGAAGAAAAGAAGCUUGCUCAAGGUCACAUAGAGCUGGAAUUUAAAUUCAGAUCUAUUAUACUCUUAAAAACUGUGGAAGAGUUUUCCGACACUAGACAGGCUGACACAACUCUUCUACACACUCUGGUGUUUGUGUCUUCUGGUGAUCCUGGAUUAUCAAGCCGUGACAAUGUUGAUGGUUGCAUGUCAGGAGCAGAUAAUAUUGAUGACUAACAGGUCAAUUUGGAAAAUCCUGGUUUGUUAUCACAGUGCUGCUUAUUAACAUAUUUUCUAGUUCCUUCUUGAAUGAAGUUUGAGAAUUAAUCUUUUAUGGGAGGAGGUCUGUUUCAAGGAGGGCAGGUCUAUUCAAACCUACACCAAAGUUUGAGGAAGCUAAGAGGCUGAAGAAAGAGGCAGACAAACCCAGCUUCUUAGGAGAAAACACUUAACAGAGACUUACAAACAAGAGCUAUAUUUGUGUCUCCAGCAGUGGUGAGACAAGAUGGUGGAUCCGCAUGCCAUUACCCCCCAGAACCAGGACUUAUCUAACACACGGAAGGGGUUGUUCAGAAGGGAUAUAUAGGACAACUGAAGUAUGAUAACUUCAAGAUUGUUUGACCUAAGAACGGGAUUUAUGGUAAGUAUCUAGUAUUACACAAGGAACCACAGAUAAACUGGAAAUCCUAGAGGCCCUCCCAGAAAUGGGGUUAAUCAGAAGCCAACAUGGUGGAUUAGCAUCCAAAGUAGACUUGCUUUAGCCUCUACAGAGUCUCAAAAACAAUGAAAUUCCCUUCAACUUUUGCAAUCCCUUUACACAUAUGAAGAGAUAUUAAGCCAGGAGUAUCUCCCAUGCGUUACACAGACAUAAAGCCCUAGCAAAAGCCCAGCUGCUCUACCCUUCCAUAUGUGUCCUGGGCUCUGCAGCAUGACGAUCAUUGCCUGGUCUUCUCUCUAAUUUCUCGUUUUGUUCUGAUUCCCAGUCUUAGGAAUAUCUAGACCUUGACAAAGAUUUAUAUAUAUUUCAUGUGCUUCACCUAAGGUCGUUUGCAUUCUGUGUCACACAUGGUUUCAUAGGAGGUCACAGCCCUAAAAACAAUAACCACUGAUGGGGUUCAGGACACACUACACUAAAAUAUGCCACCUUGGCUUUGGAGCAAACAGCAGAAACAAGAAGAUCACUCUCAUCUUCCCCUUGCCCUUCUCCCCUUGUUAGAGUAGGUAAUAGGCAGAUAUGAACAAGGCAAGAAAGGGCCCCCCUUCACAACCAGGAAUGUCAGGCAACCAUCAGGUAAUGGUCAGGUGGUUGUUACACUGUCUCUAAAAUAAAAGUUGGUCACAGCUGACACUAAGGAAAGGCAGUCUCUAAAUAGAUUGAAAAAACCUGAAACCAGUGAUCAGCAGCUUUCUGAUAAGAUCUCAGGAGUUGGGCAAGUGGGCUCAAGCAGGCACACUAAGAGGCAAAAGUGUAGGGUUUAACUGGUACAUGAACUUUUAGGGACAUUCAACUGGUAAGGGAAGAACGCCUCAAGUGAGCAUGUGCACAACUCCAGUGAACACACCAUGCAUGCAGUACCUCCCAAGUGCUGGCAGGCCACUGUGCAUGCAGACAGCUCACCUCAAGGAAAGAAUCUGGGAAGAUGUAACACAAGACCCUGGAUGCAUCCCACAUAUAAAACCCCAAGCCAAAGGUCAAACUAGGCACUUGACUCUCUCAAGUCACCCACUUGGCCCUCUUCCAAGUGUACUUUACUUCCUUUUGAGAGGUGAAGCCAGCUGGGCUUCUGGGUUGGGUGGGGACUUG
This is a long non-coding RNA of Chlorocebus sabaeus (green monkey), 6625 nucleotides long. RefSeq lists it as uncharacterized. Lineage: Eukaryota; Metazoa; Chordata; Mammalia; Primates; Cercopithecidae. The record is from RefSeq and is a predicted model, not a curated record.